CGCCCAAUAGCUAGCUCAACCAACAACACCAACCCACCAUUAUCAAUACCCCUAAAAAUCCCCUUCCUAUUACAACAAACCAUUUUACCCCCUAAGUACGGGCGACGGAAAAAGGCCUAGAAGCAAUAGAAAAAGUACCGCAAGGGAAAGCUGAAAGAGAAAUGAAACAACCCAGUAAAGCACCAAAAAGCAGAGCUUCCCCCUCGUACCUUUUGCAUCAUGAUUUAGCAAGAAACACUUAAGCAAAAAGCACUAUAGUUUAACCCCCCGAAACUAGGUGAGCUACUCCGAGACAGCCUAAAUAUAGGGCACCCCCGUCUCUGUGGCAAAAGAGUGGGAAGAGCUCCGAGUAGAGGUGACAGACCUACCGAACCUAGUUAUAGCUGGUUGCCUAAAAAUUGAAUAAAAGUUCAGCCUUUUAAAUUCUUCUCCCACCUCCGGCCCAGCCCUCCCACAGGUAACAAGAACUUAAAAGAGUUAAUCAAAGGGGGUCCAGCCCCUUUGAUAAAAAGUACAAUUUUUUCAGUAGGAUAAAGAUCAUAAUAAAUAAAGGUAAAUGCCCCAGUGGGCCCAAAAGCAGCCAUCUGAACAGAAAGCGUUAAAGCUUAAGCAUAACUAUUCCUCUAAUACUGACAAUUCUAUCUUAAUCCACUAAUUUUAUUAGGCUUUUCCAUUGACAUGGAAGAAAUUAUGCUAAUAUGAGUAAUAAGAAAGGUUUUGCCUUUCUCCCUGCACACACGUACAUCGGAACGAACCCCCACCGAAAAUUAACGGCCCCAAACCUAGAGGGACCUGAAUAACAAACAAAUUACUAGAAAAACAUCCAACACCCAACCGUUAACCCCACACUGGUGUGCCCCUAGGAAAGACUAAAAGAAAAAGAAGGAACUCGGCAAAUUAUCGAGCCUCGCCUGUUUACCAAAAACAUCGCCUCUUGAAACACAAAACAUAAGAGGUCCCGCCUGCCCAGUGACUAUAAGUUUAACGGCCGCGGUAUUUUGACCGUGCAAAGGUAGCGCAAUCACUUGUCCUUUAAAUGGGGGCCUGUAUGAAUGGCACCACGAGGGCUCAACUGUCUCCUUUUUCCUGUCAAUGAAAUUGAUCUCCCCGUGCAGAAGCGGGGAUUUUUACAUAAGACGAGAAGACCCUAUGGAGCUUUAGACACUAAAGCAGACUAUGUAAAGCACUCUAAAACAAAAGGCUAAACUGACUAGACCCUGCUUAUUAUGCCUUUGGUUGGGGCGACCGCGGGGAAAUAAAAAACCCCCAUGUGGACUAGGAGUACUCACUCCCACAGCCCGGGGCCACAACCCUGAGCAACAGAACAUCUGACCAUUAAUGAUCCGGCAUAGCCGAUCAGCGAACCGAGUUACCCUAGGGAUAACAGCGCAAUCCCCUUCUAGAGCCCGUAUCGACAAGGGGGUUUACGACCUCGAUGUUGGAUCAGGACAUCCUAUUGGUGCAGCCGCUAUUAAGGGUUCGUUUGUUCAACGAUUAAAGUCCUACGUGAUCUGAGUUCAGACCGGAGUAAUCCAGGUCAGUUUCUAUCUAUGAUAUGAUUUUUUCCAGUACGAAAGGACCGAAAAAAAGAGGCCCAUGCUCUAAGCACGCCUCCCCCUUACUUGAUGACAACAACUAAAAUAAGCAAUAGGGCAUGUUUUAUCAAGCUUAAGAAAAUAGCCU
RNAcentral lists this ribosomal RNA (1683 nucleotides) under Pterophyllum altum. RNAcentral's name for it is "16S ribosomal RNA". It matches the Rfam family "Bacterial large subunit ribosomal RNA". The record is from RNAcentral. Lineage: Eukaryota; Metazoa; Chordata; Actinopteri; Cichliformes; Cichlidae.